This is a long non-coding RNA of Bactrocera neohumeralis, 942 nucleotides long. RefSeq lists it as uncharacterized. The record is from RefSeq and is a predicted model, not a curated record. The transcript has 2 exons. NCBI's taxonomy places the organism in Eukaryota, Metazoa, Arthropoda, Insecta, Diptera, Tephritidae.
GUUGCCAUCUCUAGCCUAUAUUUAGGUGGCAGCUCUGCGGCCAUAUGAUAAAUUACAUGUGUCGGAGUAGAUCUAAUUAAUCUCAAACAUCUUCUGAGGUUAGAACUGCAGCAAGUUCACAAUUUCUGUAAGGCGGAUUUCGAAAUAUUGGAAAAAGAUGAUGCGGCGUAUUCCAUGUUAGCGCGUGCAAAGGCUUUGUAGAGUUGCAAAGCUUUAGUUGGUGUUAUUCCAAAUUUGCAGCCACUCAGAAUGUUGAGGAAUCGACAUGUGUUGUUUGUUUUGUCCACUAUUUGUUUAAUAUGUUGUGUGCACGCCAGAGAAGGUUCAACUACGGACAAGCGUGUGAACUGUCAAGAGCUAACAGAAUCCUAUUAGUGGAUUUCACCACUUUUUGAACAAAGCUGAGUAUUGAAUGAAAAUUAUGCUCAGAAAUAUACAUUGCUAUUACAGACAACAUUUUGAGUUUGGUCCCGUUUCUUAUGAUAACAUACAAGAAAAAAAUCAUCGGCAAACUGGAAUAGUUUACAAUUUUCAUCUAUUAUUGAGUGUAAUUGUGCAGGGUAUAGAUUAAAAAGUGUUGGGCUUAAGCCACUGCCUUGUGUUAAACCAUUAUUAGUGAUAACUUUUUGAUGAUCUAGUUUGAAAUAUCUUCGUUUUAAAAAUGAAAUAAUCCACUCUGUGGCACGAUUCCGAUUACUUUGGCGGCGGGGUAAAAAAAACGAAUUUCCAUAUAAAUGGGGUAUGUGCGGAUAGGGUAGCUUCUCCAGAGGAGGAAUAUCCAAAAAUAAUGUAAAAAUAACUAAUAUUUUUUGAAAUAUUCACGUUUAAAAAUUCAAAAAUAUGCACUAAGAAAACAUGUUAAUUCUCUAUGUUUCUCUAAAUUUUUUCACAUUUUCCUCUUGUUAUAUUUAAAUAUACACUUUAAAGAUUGAAAUAAGUUCA